UAUGGGUGUACCCUGGGUUAUUUUUGGUGUAGAAUCCAAAAAUGACAUAAUAAUUAUAACUUUGUUUAUCCAAAAAAAAGUUAUACUUAUUUUUUGUUAUUUUUUAUUUUAAAUUCAACUAAAAAGUCUGUUUAAGACAAAAUUAACUGUCUAUAAAAUCAUUUGUGGCCUUAUGGGUAUGUUAUACAUACCUCACAGGCUCACAGAUAAGGUGAGUGUUUUUUAUUUAUUAUGGGUAGGAAAGUUUUUGAAAUAGGAUUAUUAGUUGUAAAAUAUCCUCACUUAAAGCUGAAAUGUUAAAACUUAAAUUAAAAAAGAUAGGGAAUCUGAUUCUGAGGGAGGGGGAUGAGGUUAUUAAAAACUGUGCGCAAGAUUUGAAUCUGUUAUUUUUGAAGAGAAGGGUGUUACAUUUUAUUAUGAUCUAUAUUUAAGAGAUUCCCUUGAGGGAGUUGUGAUAAUUUCAAAGGAAAAUAGAUUUCUUUUACUGAAAUAAAAGGAUGGUGCUAGUUAGAGCCCAUACUGAUUUUCCAAAAAUAUAGUAAAAGGGAAUUGAAAUUGAAUCCAAUUUUGGUUUACUAAAGGUAUUCCACCAUAUGAAAGGGGGUAUUUUUUGAGUUAAUAGGGUGUGGGAGGACCUUCAAGUAUUAGUUUAUUGAACUAAAUAAUAAUUAUAAUUUAAAUUAAAAUAAACAACUUCCUGGCCCAUAUCUGUGUAAUAGGAUAGGAAAUAGCUAGAUACCCAAACCAAGUUAAAGACCAAAAAGGCUUUUCUUUUCCAUUAAAAUAAAUAACUUCAAAAUAAAACUAUUUCAAUUUUUUGCACAAAAUUAUAGAUCAGAGAUUCCAAAAUAUAUCUUAACAAACUAUUCAACUUUCUUUUCACACUAUAUAAUCUUCAAAAUCAAAUUUUAUUCCUUCCAAAACUACACUAAUUACCACUAUCAAAAUAAAUCAAUUUUAUCAUUAUUUACAGUUUAUAAUCUGGUACCCUAUAGUAUUUUAAUGGUUAAUACGGGAUUUUGGAAAUUGAAUAAAUUAGGAAUAGUUCUAAUUACAAGAAUAAGGAGAAAGCCUAAAAUAUUGUCUUAUGAUUGGAAUAAUUAUUGAUAAAUAUUCUUUAAAACUAAGGAAAUUAUACUAGAUAUAUUAAAAUAUUAAGAAAAAAUAAUGAUGAAUUUUUGAAUUGAGGUGAGAGAAUUAUUAUCUAAAAGAAUGAUAUACGGGUCCUUGAAUAAGAUAUUAAAAUUAUUACAAAAAAUAAAACAAAAAAAGAUGAGAUGUUUCAAUAAAAUUAAAUGAAACAAACAAAAGGAAAAAAAAAUUAUAAGAAGUCAAAAGUAAAAUAAAAAAGCUAGUGUGGAAUGAUUAUGUAGGGAUGGUUUUUUUUUGAAGCUUUAGCAGUGAUGCUGAGUGAAACUUCCUCUAGUGUAGAUCUUGGUGGAAGUAGCAAAUAUUCAAGUGAGAACCUUGAAGACUGAAGUGGGGAAGGGUUCCAUGGUUACAGUAGUUGGACAUGGGUUAGUCAGUCCUAAAAGAUAGGGAAAGUCUGCCUUAAAGUAUACUCUUGUUAGCAUCACCUAUUGAAAGGGAAUUUAGUUAAAAGUCUACAACUGGGAUACAGAUUUUGAAUGGUAACAUAUAUGAACUCGGUGACAUCUGUAAGGGCCCCAGGAAGAGUUUCUUUCCUACUUAACAAUCUGAAACCCUGGAAAAAAAAUUUUGGAGAUAGGGUUUAAUGAUUGGUAGGACUUUAGAACUCUGUAAAGUCUGGUGUGUCCUUGAGGAGCCUUGAAAAACAAAGGGAUUGAAAAAUUCUUGUACCCAACUGUACCAAUAUCUGUAUCAGAUCCCCAAGGUGAUAAGCCUCUGGUCAGUAGAAUAAUGUAGAUAAGGGAAGUUGGAAAAAUAGAUCUGUAACUUAGGGAAGGGCUUUUUGGGCCCUUAAUAGGUCUUUAAGGAUCUGACUAGGACUACUACUAGGAAACUAGUGGCAGUCUUGUAUGGAGCUUUAUUGUGAUGUUUUGGGCAGCCUUCAAAAGCGUCUGGAAAGAAAUUAACUGGAACGGGCAAGGGGAAUCUCACUGUCCAAUUGAAUCAUAGAAUUGUGAUGGCCAGAAAAUGGUGUUGACACAUUGUGUUUUCUUUCCCAGUUCUCUGAAUGUCAAAGUGAAGAAAUUUAACCAAGUGCAGGUAAACAGCAGGAGUAACUAUGACUCUCUUAAGGUAGCCAAAUGCCUUGUCAUCUAAUUAGUGACAUGCAUGAAUAGAUUAAUGAUAUUCUCACUGUCCCUAUUUACUAUCUAGAAAAACAAAAGCCAAGGGAACAGGCUUGGCAGAAUCAGAGGGGAAAGAAGACCCUGUUGAGCUUGACUCUAGUUUGACAUUGUGAAAAGACAUAGGGGGUGUAGAAUAAGUGGGAGUGUAAGUGCCAGUGAAAUACCACUACCUUUAUUGUCUUUUUACUUAUUCAAUGAAGCAGAGCUGGGAUUAACAUCUCACCUUUUAGAAUCAAGGUCUUUUGUAGGCCAAUCUGGGUUGGAGACAUUUUCAGGUCAGGAGUUUGGCUGGGGAGGCAUAUCUGUUAGAUAAUGAUGCAGGUGUCCUAAGGGGGACUCAUUGAGAACAGAAAUCUGAAGUAGAACAAAAGGGUAAAAGUCCCCCUGAUUUUGAUUUUAAGCUUGAAUACAAACCAUGAAAGUGUGGCCCAUUGCUCCUUUAGUCCUUCAGAGCUUAAAUGUAGAGGUGCCAGAAAAGUAACCACAGCAAUAACUGGCUUGUGGAAGCCAAGCGUUCAUAGAGACAUUGCUUUUUGAUCCUUUGAUGUCGGCUCUUCCUAUCAUACUGAAGUAGAAUUCAGUAAGCAUUGGAUUGUUCACCCACUAAUAGGGAACAUGAGCUGGGUUUAGACCAUUGUGAGACAGGUUAGUUUUACCCUACUGAUGGAAAGUCAUUGUAAUAGUAAUUGAACUUAGUAAAAGAGGAACCGUUCAUUCAUGUAAUUGGUAUUUACACCUUUUUGGAAUGACAAUGAUGUGAAGCUACCAUGUGUUGGAUUAUGGCUGAAUGCCUUUAAGCCAUAAUCCAUGCUAGAAACAAUUAUAUUGUCACAUACAUCAAAGAUGUGUUGAUAUAGAGAAUAUGCUUGUGUACCAUGAGCUGUGGGUUUCCUAGCCAAGUGGAAAGACUUGGAUAGUGCUAUCACUUAUCUUGAAUGAAAUAUGU
Molecule: ribosomal RNA, 3222 nt
Filed under: Austropuccinia psidii
Lineage: Eukaryota; Fungi; Basidiomycota; Pucciniomycetes; Pucciniales; Sphaerophragmiaceae
Description: eukaryotic LSU rRNA
Rfam family: Eukaryotic large subunit ribosomal RNA (bases 1254-3222)
Source: RNAcentral